This 346-nucleotide unclassified non-coding RNA is filed under the name uncultured fungus. Its description in RNAcentral is "sequence contains ITS1". Lineage: Eukaryota; Fungi. The record is from RNAcentral.
AAGGACGAAGUACUCACACCCUACGGAAAUCCGAUUACGCCGCCACAUUUCCAUGCGCGUAAUCCGGCGUUCGAUGUAACCCCAUGCCGCUACCUGUCCGGCAUUGUGACAGAAAAUGGAAUUGUGCGGCUACCCUUCAACGAAAAUUUACGGCGGGCAGUGGCGGGCGAGAACGUGUGAUUCGCCGAGUCAUUCGCAGAACAAUCAACAUCGUCCUCGCAUUUUUUGCAGUGGCAUUGAUAUGGGUGGGCUGGCAAUUUCUGCCGCCACCCACCUCUCCUCCACUUCCAGCAGACUAUCAUGCUCAAAAAGCUGUCUGGCUGGACAUCACCUGGGUAAUGGAUGC